Gallus gallus (chicken) is the source of this 1196-nucleotide long non-coding RNA. NCBI's taxonomy places the organism in Eukaryota, Metazoa, Chordata, Aves, Galliformes, Phasianidae. The record is from Ensembl.
AACAUUAGAAGAUAGCUCACAGGAGGGGAUAUUUUCAAAAGAGAUCCAGAGGAUUUUGUUGUGGUGAAAGUUUUGGGGCUGCAAGCAUACGGCUUCUCGCUGGUUAAUAGAUGCUGAUUUGGGCACCCUGUGGUUAUUGUCCUGGUGUGUGAGAUGUUACCCAUGACUUAGACCAUGUUUCCACACUGAUUCAACCAAAGGCGUGAAGCCAGUGCACAUGACCUAGGGCUGUUAGGUGUUUCCCAUGCAGAUGCUUUCAUUUAGCACCGAAGUUGCAUGAAAGGAGCUCAUUGUGUCCUCCUCUUCCUGUGGGUAAGUCCCUCACGUUGCGAGCAAGUUUGUCAUGAAACACCACCACAAAGGACUUCUUAGCAUCGCUUUAGGAAAAACUUUAUCUCCACAGCUUCACUAACCAUACAGCCGGACCCUUGGCUGCUGUCAACAGAAACUGCAUAGUCGUAACCACAGGGGAAAGACAAAUCUGUAUAUCCUUAUUAAUGAUUUUGCUUAAUGUUGUACGAAAUAUCAUCUUCAUCUCCAGCCCCCAAAGCAUCUGAGUCUUUGAGCACAGCUAAAAUUAGCAAGGGAGCCCUUUGGGAGCAGCAUUCCUAUGGGUGGUGGUGAGCUGCCUGCCCAAGCAGGGGUCCACCAGUGCAAGCUGCCGUGGGGAAGCUGCUGCUGUGAAGACUGUGAAUGACACCAUCCUUCCUGGACAGACAGCAAACCACCCCAGUGCAGGUGUGAAGAACGAUGGAGCAUUCCUGGGUCCUACCAUAAAGGGAGCUUUCAAGGGUGAUCUAAAAUGGAGGUACGCCCUAAUUCAGGGUGGAAGAGGCACCAUGUGCCCACCAGUUCCACUGAAGUCAGCAGGAGUUCAGCACCUCUCCCACUGAGCCUCCAGGAGUUCUCCAGGCAGGAAAGCGCAAGCUGGCUCCUAGUGAGGGAUCUGACUUUACCUUGUUUUGUGAAGUGGUGGUGAGAAAAAGAGGCAGUGAUGGGAAAUGCAAAUAUCUGCAACACAUCAGCGCCUCAGCACGGAAAUUGUUUUGAACCUGCUCAUCCCUUGCAGUAUCCAAGCAUGCAGAUAAAGGAGCAGUGUGACUGUGACAUGUGAUUCAUGUGGGCUUUGCUGCAAAGACCAACUGCUAUUCUGGAUAGAAAUGCUGCUGAAAAGUCUCGUUGAAUAAAGAGUUUUU